CCUACGGGAGGCAGCAGUGAGGAAUAUUGGGCAAUGGAGGCAACUCUGACCCAGCCAUGCCGCGUGCAGGAAGACUGCCCUAUGGGUUGUAAACUGCUUUUAUACAGGAAGAAACACUGCUACGUGUAGCAGCUUGACGGUACUGUAAGAAUAAGGACCGGCUAACUCCGUGCCAGCAGCCGCGGUAAUA
RNAcentral lists this ribosomal RNA (190 nucleotides) under uncultured Flavobacterium sp. RNAcentral describes it as "partial 16S ribosomal RNA". It matches the Rfam family "Bacterial small subunit ribosomal RNA", at positions 338 to 525 of the family's 1533-position model. Lineage: Bacteria; Pseudomonadati; Bacteroidota; Flavobacteriia; Flavobacteriales; Flavobacteriaceae. The record is from RNAcentral.